CCUACGGUGCGCAGCAGUGGGGAAUAUUGGACAAUGGGGGGAACCCUGAUCCAGCGACGCCGCGUGAGUGAAGAAGUAUUUCGGUAUGUAAAGCUCUAUCAGCAGGGAAGCAAGACAUGACGGUACCUGACUAAGAAGCCCCGGCUAACUACGUGCCAGCAGCCGCGGUAAUACGUAGGGGGCAAGCGUUAUCCGGAUUUACUGGGUGUAAAGGGAGCGUAGACGGCGAUGCAAGUCUGAAGUGAAAGGCGGGGGCCCAACCCCCGGACUGCUUUGGAAACUGUAUGGCUGGAGUGCAGGAGAGGUAAGUGGAAGUCCUAGUGGAGAGGUGAAAUGCGUAGAUAUUAGGAGGAACACCAGUGGCGAAGGCGGCUUACUGGACUGUAACUGACGUUGAGGCUCGAAAGCGUGGGGAGCAAACAGGAUUAGAUACCCUAGUAGUC
RNAcentral lists this ribosomal RNA (443 nucleotides) under uncultured bacterium. RNAcentral's name for it is "partial 16S ribosomal RNA". It matches the Rfam family "Bacterial small subunit ribosomal RNA", at positions 338 to 795 of the family's 1533-position model. The record is from RNAcentral.